CCUACGGGAGGCUGCAGUGGGGAAUAUUGGACAAUGGGGGGAACCCUGAUCCAGCCAUGCCGCGUGUGUGAAGAAGGCCCUCGGGUUGUAAAGCACUUUCAGUGAGGAAGAACGCCUGGUGGUUAAUACCCAUCAGGAAAGACAUCACUCACAGAAGAAGCACCGGCUAACUCCGUGCCAGCAGCCGCGGUAAUACGGAGGGUGCGAGCGUUAAUCGGAAUUACUGGGCGUAAAGCGCGCGUAGGUGGCUUGAUAAGCCGGUUGUGAAAGCCCCGGGCUCAACCUGGGAACGGCAUCCGGAACUGUCAAGCUAGAGUGCAGGAGAGGAAGGUAGAAUUCCCGGUGUAGCGGUGAAAUGCGUAGAGAUCGGGAGGAAUAUCAGUGGCGAAGGCGGCCUUCUGGACUGACACUGACACUGAGGUGCGAAAGCGUGGGUAGCAAACAGGAUUAGAUACCCUUGUAGUC
RNAcentral lists this ribosomal RNA (465 nucleotides) under Vreelandella stevensii. RNAcentral describes it as "partial 16S ribosomal RNA". It matches the Rfam family "Bacterial small subunit ribosomal RNA", at positions 338 to 795 of the family's 1533-position model. Lineage: Bacteria; Pseudomonadati; Pseudomonadota; Gammaproteobacteria; Oceanospirillales; Halomonadaceae. The record is from RNAcentral.